AGAGUUUGAUCCUGGCUCAGAACGAACGCUGGCGGCGUGCCUAACACAUGCAAGUCCAACGUGAAAGGGGAGCAAUCCCCCGGUAGGGUGGGCAAACGGUGAGUAAUACAUGGGUGAUCUACCUUAGGGAUGGGGAGUAUCCUUCCGAAAGGAGGGGCAAUACCGAAUAUUGUCCGGGACCGUGAGGGUUCCGGGGAAGGGAGGCUCUGAUACAAGCUUUCGCCUUAAGUAUGAGCCCAUGGCCCAUCAGCUAGUUGGUA
Molecule: ribosomal RNA, 260 nt
Filed under: uncultured prokaryote
Description: partial 16S ribosomal RNA
Rfam family: Bacterial small subunit ribosomal RNA
Source: RNAcentral